GUAUCCAGGCAGCUGUCACUCAUCCCCAGUUCCAGUCCUGUCUCGCUCCGCAGACAGAGCUUGAUUCCUGCUGUGAGGAAUUGUCACAGCCUUUUUACUUCAAUUCUACUAUAACUAAUCAGGCCAGUUUCUUCUCCCUUCCUUUCUUCUGUGUGCCAGGGUGGGAAGGGAGUUGCCUUUUUAGUAUUUUAGCGAAUUUUAUUUUAUUUUAUUUUAAAAUUGAAUUAGCCCUCAUUGAAAGGGCCUGUGGAUAUGGAGCCUGCGCAUAUGGGGGACAUGUUGAAGGGUUCCCUUUUGGAGGGCCCCUUCACAGAAGCCGCAAUCGUUCCCUCAGCCGCGAGCUACGAGGGAACUGCGGGCUUAAGCCUUUCGGCUAACGUUAGGGAGAGAGAGACCUCGGAGCCUCUGGAGACUACUGAUCUGCCGGCUCCGCCGCCCAAAAAAGCCGCAAAAAAGACCAAGCAUUUGAAAGACAAAGUCUUGGCAAAAAAGAAAAAGGCAAAACUCUCUCCCGGCAGCGCUCCGCUGAGCGAAAGGCUGCAAUUACAGGCAGUUCGGGCUCAGCAACCAUCUUCCUUUUUGCCGCCCGAUCUUACUGCUGAGGGAGCAGCGGCCAUUUUAGCGCUCCUUUCUAAGUCCUGUUCCGUUGCUACUAUCAGGAUCGACGGGGACCCUGGGCGCACAGUACCGCUUUCUGAACCCUUUACGGGUUCCUUAUUACUAGCAAUAGCACUUAGCAAUAGCACUUACAUUUAUAUACCGCUCUAUAGCCGGAGCUCUCUAAGCGGUUUACAGUGAUUUUAGCAUAUUGCCCCCAACAUUCUGGGUACUCAUUUUACCGACCUCGGAAGGAUGGAAGGCUGAGUCAACCUUUGAAACUACAUGGACCUUCGUCGGCCUAGAGUUCCGCUCAACCUCCGCUCUCCGUUUUCGACCCUCCUCAGGGUCCGAUCUUCGCGUCAACAGCGCUUGCGGCUAUUGCCCCACCUCAGGGUCCGCCAGUCGCGCGGACAGCGCCCACGACUAUCGACCCCCCUCAGGCUCCACUGACCGCGCCGAGUGCCUCCGACCCCUCUCAGGGUCCAUUGUUGGCCACUGCUACAGCAACCUUUGCCACUGUAGCCGAGCAGCUGAAUGGGAAAGCGCUUCCCGAUAUGCCCCCUCUCCCAGGAGAUCACCAGCCUUCAGAGGGUGAGUUGUUAUGGCUGGGGGAAUUUGUCAGAAUUUGUCACUGCUUAAAUGUGGUUUCUCCUCUGAUGGACUCAGUCGGGAGUGCCUUAAUUCCUUCCCAACCGGUUUACACCUCUGGGGUGUUAGGUUCCUGUGGGCAAUCUACCAACAUGCAGCCACCCUCUCUACAAGUGGCGCCCCCCCCCGUAGGUCUAGGAGACCUUCCUAUUCUUCUUUGCCGGACUCAAGCCUGGCUAGACGGGCAAUUCCUAUGGCAGAGCGCUCCUUUUUGCUUGACUCCACCAGGAGGAGACAUAGAAAGUGGAAACACAUUCACCAUCCCUCUUCCUCCUCUGAGGAGGUGCCCCAGGCUCCAAAACGUGUUCCCACUGAUGUUCCUUUAAAUAUUCAAGCCACUGUACCCCCUAUUAUGCCACAGGGGAUCCCAAUAGUUCAGAACACCCCAGGAAUCCCGGUGCGUUCUCAGGCUGUGGUUCAACGCCCAGUGCUUCCCUCUGAGGAUUCACAGACUUCCGAGUCUGAGAAAGAGGAAGGGGAACUGUCUGACGAACAGGCUCCCAUGGAAAAGCCUAAUUCUACUCGACUUUUCUGUGCCUCUGAAUUUGAAAUUUUACUAGCCAAGGGCAAAACGGCUAUUAAAGAAGUUUCACCAGAGAUUGCCUCCCCUACAGUCUCUGGCUUGGAUCAAGAGGUUUUUCCUUCCACGUCUGUUUCUGCAGCCACUGUACCCUUUCCUUCUUUAUUUAAAGUUGUCAUGUUUGCUGAGUGGGGGGGUACCUGGGUCUGCUAAACCUCCCAUUUCCUCCCCAAGGAAAUUGUAUGCAUUACCCUCUGAUAUUAUGGCGCUUUUGGCAGUUCCUGUUGUCGAUGGGCCCGUGGCCCAGUUGGUCACUGGCGCUCUGGUUAAUAAGGAGGGAGAUGACUUUCUCAUAACGCCAAAGGAAAAGAAAACUGAUCACCUGUUACGUAAGAUGCACGAGGCGUCUGCAACUGUCAUAAGGGCAACUGCCACUAAUUCUAUUUUUGCCCGUGCCUCCAUUCUGUGGACUAAGGAACUUGUUAAACUGGUUUCACCAGAAAAUCUGAAGCUUCGCCAAGGCUUGAAUAAGCUAGCCAGAGCUUCUGCCCUUAUGGCAGAUUCUGGUUUGGAUUGCAUACAACACGCUUCGCGUGCUAUGGCAGCGGGGGUGGCCCUUCGCAGAAGCUUAUGGCUAAAGAAUUGGUGGGCAGAUACCAAGUCCAAGUCCACCUUGGCAGCUUCUCCCUUUAUGGGGGAGAAAUUAUUUGGGGAAUCCUUAGAUCCAAUUUUGGUAGACACUAAAGAUAAAAAGAAGGCCAUGCCGGUUGGGCGUGGGGAUCCCAGAAGGAAUUUCAGGGGAAAUAAUGCCUUUCAGAAUUCCUUUCGUCCCUUCAGAGGCUUUAAUAGACCUGCCAGUUCAGGAUCCAGAGACGGCUUCAGAGGACGAGAUGAUCGCGGAUCUUCCUUCAGAGCUACCUGGCGUCAACCUUGGAACAACAGGGGCAGAGGAUCAGCCAGGGCGCAUUCAGGAGGCUAUGCCAAUAAUCAGAACCGUAAGCAAUGACGCGAUACCGGUGGGGGCCAGACUUUUGGAGUUUGCAGAAGUCUGGGGGAACAGCACCACAGAUCAAUGGGUGUUGAAUAUGGUGAGUCAGGGGUACGUUGUAGACCUUGUAGAUAUUACUCCUGAUUUUCUCUUUAUUACACCUGUUUCCAGGGUGAGAUCCAAAAGAAUCCUGAUGGAGCACAGCAUUCAACAGUUACUGGACAUACAAGCCAUAGAACCAAUUCUGUCGACGGAAUUAUGUGUGGGCGUUUUUUCGCUUCUCUUUUUGGUACCAAAAAAGGACGAUUCCUGGCGAGCAAUCCUGGAUCUAAAGAGAUUGAAUCACUUCGUACGCAAACGCAAGUUCCGAAUGGAAUCAUUAUGGACAAUAAAAGCAGCGAUUCUUCCGGGAAAUUACUUGUCAUCAAUCGACCUUUCGGAAGCGUACUUACAUGUACCAAUUCACCCGGCGUCCCGCAAGUAUCUCCGGUUUGCCUACAACCAGAGGCAAUUUCAAUACAGGGCUCUCCCCUUCGGGUUGUCCUCAGCCCCUUGAGUUUUCACAAAGCUGAUGGCCAGGGACAUAGCUCAGGUGGUUCAGAUAUUGGAGGAUCACGGCUUUGUCAUAAACUGUGCCAAGAGUCACCUAUCUUCUUCGAAGGUGCUUCAACAUCUAGGCGUUGUCUUCAACACCAGUGCAGGCACAGUUUCCCUACCACCGGAUCGGCGGCAAAGGAUUGUGGACCACAUCAGGCCAUGGAUGUUCAGGCGCCGGGGCUCCCUCAUUUCUCUGGCCCAACUCAUGGGUCUGAUGAUUGCAUGCCUGGAAUGUACACCUUGUGCCAGGUGGCAUUCAAGACCGCUUCAGUGGUUCCUUCUUUCCCAUCAAGUAGCCAUUAUGGAAAGAACACCAUUGAUGCUUCACCUGCCACGGAAGGUCAGGGACUCCCUUCUCUGGUGGCUUUCUCCAGCCCUGGAGAAAGGCGUGCUGCUGGAAACUCCCCGGAGGGUGGUGGUCACGAUGGACGCCAGCCUCUCUGGUUGGGGGGCCCACUGUCUUACACGCCAUGCACAGGGGACCAGAGGGAUCUAAGGAACACCAUCAACUGGUUAGAGUUGAAGGCUAUUCGGUUAGCCCUUCUUCACUUCCACGAUCUUUUGGAGGGGAGACAUGUCCUCAUAAGGACGGACAAUGUGACUGCAAAAGCUCAUGUGAAUCACAAGGGCGGCACAAGAUCGAGGGCCCUCAUGUGGGAGUCGAACCUGCUAUUCGGUUGGGUGGAAAUCCACUUGUGCUCUGUGACAGCGGAGCACCUGAGUGGCACGGAGAACUUACAGGCAAAUUGGCUAAGUCGCCAACGGGUAGACCCAGCGGAGUGGGGUCUCCACCCAGCAGUUUUCGAGGAAAUUGCAGCCUGGUGGGGUCGUCCACAGCUGGAUCUAUUCGCUUCUCAGGUUAAUGCGAAGUUGCCGAGGUUUUACGCAAGAUAUUUUUCUCCUCACGCGGAGGAGGUGGACGCCCUCUCCUCUCCUUGGCCGCAGGGCUUGCUCUAUGCGUUUCCUCCAACUCCGAUUCUAGGCUCUUUCCUGAGGAAGCUCCUGUUGGAGGAAGCGGAGGUCAUUUUGAUAGCUCCUUAUUGGCCUUUGAGGCCUUGGUUCUCUGACCUACUGAGGCUGUCAGUUCGUCCACCGUGGUCUCUUCCUCAAAGAAGGGAUCUGCUGUCGCAAGGCCCUCUCUACUACCCGGACAUCACCUGGUUACGCCUUCACGCUUGGAGGUUGAGCGCAAGAUCCUAGAAGCCAAGGGAUAUUCUACCCAGGUGCAAGACACUAUUUGGCGUCAAGACGAUCAUCCACCUCACGAAUCCACCAAGUCACCUGGGCGGCUUUUUGUGCCUGGGGGCAUAAACUGAGUGUCAUUUCAUCCGUGGCGGGGGUUCCAGAAGUUCUAGGUUUUCUUCAAGUGGGUCUUGAAAAAGGGCUCCAUCCUAGCACUCUAAGAAGACAAACUUCUGCAUUGUCAUCAGUACUGAAUCUAUUGGAACCUGGCUCUUCUUCCUUGCAUCCUCACAUCAGGCAUUUUCUGAGGGGAGCUACCAACUUGGCUCCUCCUCCGAUACAUAGGUUUCCCUCUUGGGAUUUAAAUCUAGUUUUAAAGGCGCUUACUAAAGCUCCGUUUGAGCCCCUGCGCUUAGCUCCCUUGCAAAUCUUGUCCUUUAACGUUCUGUUCCUUGUUGCCAUCACAACUGCACGAAGGGUUUCUGAGCUAGCUGCCCUUUCAGUGCGUAAGGAGCUGUGUAUCUUUCAGAAGGACUGUGUUGUCUUGAAAUUGGACCCUACCUUUUUUGCCUAAGAUUAAUUCCAUUUUUCAUCGGAGUCAGGAUUUGGUGUUACCCUCCUUUUGCCCUAGUCCGGUUCACCCGAAAGAGUGGUCUUGGCAUACCCUUGAUGUAUGCCGAGCUCUUAAAUUAUACAUUAAGCGGACCAAGACCUUUAGAAGGACGGACUCACUGUUUGUGUCCUUCCAGCCUGCGUCCUUAGGGGCUAUGGUCUCAAAGAUUUCAUUAAGUAGAUGGAUCAGAGCUGCCAUAACUUUGGCAUAUGAGUCUCUUCAUCUGCCUAUUCCUCGGGCCAUUACCGCCCAUUCUACAAGAAGUGCUGCCACUUCUGCAGCCUUUUCUGUUCGUGCCCCCUUGGAAGAAAUUUGCAAGGCGGCAACAUGGGCAUCAGUAUCUCCUUUUAUCAAACAUUAUAAGAUUCCAUCCUUUCAUGCUGCUCAAGCGGCAAUGGGAAGGACGGUUUUGCAGCAGGUGGUUUAAUCAUCCGCUCCCGCCCUUGGGAUUGCUUUUGUACAUCCCAUCACGUUAGGAUGCCCUCCCCAUACCAAGGAAAAAGAAACAUUGGUAGACUUACCGUGAAGGGUUCUUUUUCUGGGUAUGGGGAGGGCAUCCGGCCCUCCCGCGAAUGAUAGAGAGAAAAUUUUUCAGGGAGGGGGGGCGACUCCCAGGGCUGUUUAGUUAUUGCUGUCACUUUUCUACUACUAUUACUUUUCCCUUAAAACCUUGUGGCCUAUAUCUUCUCCUUCUUUGGCUCUAUGUUUGUUCUAUGCUCUACAGUCCUGGAACUGGGGAUGAGUGACAGCUGCCUGGAUACACAUAGCUGGCCUGAAAUUUGAUUGGUCCUGUCUCGGAGCAUGCAGAGCUUGAUAACCCAUCACGUUAGGAUGCCCUCCCCAUACCCAGAAAAAGAACCCUUCACGAUCGCAUGGUGAACUUUUUCUGUUGAUCUCCUGGAACUCGCAGCUCAACGGAUGCCCAGAUGGAUAUUUGCACCUGACACCUCAACUAGCCAUUGUAUAUGGGCACACUGUAAGUGAGUGAAAGCUGUGUAAAUAGUUUGUAAAUACUGUGUUGUUAUGCAUUUGUAACAUUUUACAAAUAAAGGCGUAUUGAACACACACAAAAAGGUCCUUUGCUUGGCAAGUCCAUCUCUGUUGCAUCCAUUCAGUGCCAUGUGUAAUUUUUUGGCCCUAGGGGUCCUUCCUCCAAAUCAGGCUGCAGCAGAGGACAAGGCAAAGCAGUAAGGCCCCUCCCAUCAGCCUGAGAAGAACCAGGUACCUUCUGGACCCUCUCCUCUGGCAACUCCCCCACCCUUUUAUUUCUCUCUCUCUCUUUUGCUUGUAUUUUGGAAAAGAUGGUGAGUACCUUCAGGACAGGUUUAUUACUAUUUUUUAAAUGCUGCAACCCAUUCUGAGCCUGUCAGAAAGAGUGAGAUGUAUAUAAGUGAGCGAAUAAAGAAAAAUAAUUGGCUUCCCUCCCCUCCACUUUACAUGGCUGGUUCCUCUUUGUUGCAGGCUAAUACCCCCAAAUAAAUGUUUAGCUAUGAUAUUUGCUAAUUAGGUCAUUAUUUAACAGACCUGUUGACAUCAGUGGGGAUAGAAUUUUACCUAGACAUCUCAAAUACUUUAAUUAAUUAACUGUUUGAACAAGCGUCAAUAAAUGGCAUUUAUUUUAUUUUAAUUUAGAACCAAUGCAACUGCAGUUUUUUUGUUUUCUUCCUCUUUAACAUGUACAGAAUUGUGAUAUUGCAGGAAGAGAGCAAGAGCAUGAGUGCGCAAGUGCACGCGCGCGCACACACACACACACACACACACACACACACCCAUAAAGCUUGCGCAAUCCUUGGGGCGUUAGGCUAGUACUGUUCCCAAUAAUAUCCUCCCAUAAACAUUGUCUCAUAAAUAGCACCUUUUUGAAGAACAUCUGGAAUGAGUAUUGACACUACUACACUGCCCCCACUUGAGUCCUUUCCUUUGUUCCAUACCACUGACAGAAAGGAAGAGAAUUUGAAUUUAUAUAAUAUGUUCCACUCUACAAAGCAACAAAUUAGAUACCAGUAACACUAUGGCUAGAUUUACUACCAUAUUCAUUUUAAUGGCAUCUAUUGUUGUGUCCUGUAGACAUCACAGGAUGCCAUGUGAAGAACAUUUAAUUAAAUACAGCUGGAACAAAAUAAUUGGAAGAGGAACUGAUCUAACUAUUCCACUUGGUGAAAAAGAAGCAUAUCUUCCCAGCCAAAAGACAGCCCAGAACCUCAUAACAUGAAGAUUGGAAGGCGCUUUGGGAGUGUCAACCACACUUAUCUGGAACUUAGAACAGAUGCUUCUGCUUAAUUUUUUUCAGGAUUGUCGAUGGCAGUCUCCUUUUAAAUUACAAGGUUUUGUUCAGCAAAUUCUUUUGUCUAGCAUGCAGCCACAUGUGCUUUGGGGAUGAAGAGUUUGUAGUUCUCCAGGCCUGUGGAUACAAAAAGACCUAACACUCAGGAGGAAAAACACAGUUGUCUUCAGUGCUUAAAGAAAUGCCUCUUUAGGGAUGCAAAUUAUCAAGCUGUAGUAACAGAAGGAAACGACUGUUCACAAAAUUGUAUGUAUCUUGCAGUUCCAGAAAACCUCAAGGCCUAGAAUUUAGCAUCCUGAGAAUUUUGACUUUUACCUUUAAAAAAACACCAAAAAACCCACACCCCAAUUUCUCUGCCUUAUUUUAUAUAAUUAAGUUUAUAUACUGCUUUUCCACAUACUGCACUCAGAGUGAUAAAACAACCUAUAUCUCAUACAGAUAUCUGUAUCUUGUGGCAUAGUGUGAAGGCAAUGCCUGAUGAAACUUCAGAAACACGAGGCUUUGGAACACACUUCCUGCUGAAAUAAGAGCCUCCCCAUCUCUUGCAACUUUUAAAAAGGCAGUCAAGAUGCAUUUGUUCACCCAGGGGUGUGUGGGUGUGUGUUUAUUUAUUUAUUUGUGUUUUUAAUAGUUUCAAUUUUUUAAAUUUUAAACUGUUAUAAUGUUUUAACCUUUUUAUUGUUGUUUUUGUUGUUGUUGUAAACCGCCCAGAGACUUGUGUUUUGGGCAGUAUACAGAGGCGUAUCUAGGGAAAAUAGCGCCUAGGGCAAACACUGAAAUUGCACCCCCUGUCCAAACACCUCACACCCAUCUUUCAGAUAUCUUCACCAUAAUAUCAGCUGAAAAAUACAAGUCAAGCUCGUUAAUCUUUUAAUAUUUCAAAAACUAUUUAGCAGUGGAUGUAGCCAGACCAAAAAAUGCUGGAAAACUACAAAUUUCAGUAUGCUGGGGCUCAUGAAAUGCCCAAAUACUAUGUGGAGGUGUACUUGAAAAACUAAACAGAAGUGCCUGUCUAAUUCUCUACUAUGCAUUGUAGCAUCACCAUUACAUAAGUUUUAAAAAUCAAUGGAGAAUUUGACUUUUCCUAGAUACUCUGAAAAUAAUUAAAGGAUAUUCAGAGCAAACUGUGUCACUGCUUGGAAUAUAUUCUAGUCUUUCAGAAAGACAGUUAAAAUGAGAGAAAGAGAGCAAGAAACUCCCAGUGGGCCUUAAUACUAAGGAUUUCACACUGAUUCAAAGACAAACUCACCAUUAAUAGCCAUAAUAUUAAGACAUCACAUUUAACUCACUUAUCACAAGAAGCAAAGUAAGAGCAAAUGAAUGCAAUCCUAGCUCAUAAGCCUCAGCUCAGUAUCCACAAGCCCUGAUUAUCUGUACAUAGUGCCAAUCUGAAUAUGUGUACAGUGUCUUAUAUUAUAUAUAUAUAUUAAUUUUUGUUUACCUGUAGCCCCUUCGGGGGGCUUGUAAAUGCCAUGGGGGGUGUCUGCAAAGGUUCCCCCUCACCCCGCUGGCCUCUAGGGCCUCGCAGGGACCAUUUGAGCAUGUGCGGUGGCCAUUUUUUAAAAUAAUCUUUUUUUUAAAAAUGGCAGCUGAAAACAAAAUGGCCACCGUGCAUGCUCAAAUGGCCUCUGCAAGGCCUGGCAUGGCCUAGGGCCUCACAGAGGCUAUUUGAGCAUGUGCGGUGUCCAUUUUGUUUUCAGCAACAAUUUAAUUUUUUUAAAAAAUUUUACAAUAUGGUGCCCCCCUUCAAGUGGUGCCCGGGGCACAUGCCCUGCCUGCCGCACACUAGAUACGCCCCUGGCAGUAUACAAAUGAAAUAAAUAAAAUAAAAUAAAUACCAACAGCAAUAAACCAUACUUAGUAUUUGUAUAGCACUUUAGAGGGCCAGUGAGCAUCAUCUAAACUAAUUUAUUUAAUAGUCCUACUCAUAAGUUACUGUAUAGAACUACUUAAUUUCAGUCAGACUAUUCAGGUGUAAUUCAAUCUGGCUGCUAUGUGUGUGUAUAUAAAACAAUGCCCCAAUACCUUUUUUUUUUCUUAGAAAGCAAAGCCACUUUGAGAGAGGUAAAUGUAGGGUGAAGAAGAAGCAGAGAAGGAACGACACUUAACCCUUUCCCUUCUUGCCAUUUCCUCCUUCCAAAUUACUCCCCUAAACAACUUUUCCAAAACUGGAUUCAAAUACAUGUUUGCCCCAUAGCUACACCGUUGCUAUGUAACACCGUACAGUAGCAAUGUUGGAGCUUCACUAUGAACAUAAUUGUAAAGCAGCUAUUAGUGUUUUGAAUUCAAGCAUAUGCCUGGGUUACACAGAGAUUGCUGAGAUUACAGCCAAGCAGGUCAUUUGGAUUUUUGUUUUUGUUUUUUUAAAAAAAAUAGUUGUGUGAAUGAGAAAAUUACUUGUAUAAUAGUUUUCUCUUGGAUGAAAAGGAAAAUAAUCAAAUAAGGGGUUAUCAAACCAAAUAAAAAACAGCAGACCUAUUCCACUGCUCAUGCAGUUCUUGUCUGAA
RNA transcript from Hemicordylus capensis (graceful crag lizard), 9939 nucleotides. RefSeq lists it as uncharacterized. The record is from RefSeq and is a predicted model, not a curated record. Lineage: Eukaryota; Metazoa; Chordata; Lepidosauria; Squamata; Cordylidae. The transcript has 3 exons.